This 506-nucleotide ribosomal RNA is filed under the name uncultured bacterium. RNAcentral describes it as "partial 16S ribosomal RNA". It matches the Rfam family "Bacterial small subunit ribosomal RNA", at positions 29 to 523 of the family's 1533-position model. The record is from RNAcentral.
AUUGAACGCUGGCGGCAGGCCUAACACAUGCAAGUCGGACGGUAGCACAGAGGAGCUUGCUCCUCGGGUGACGAGUGGCGGACGGGUGAGUAAUGUCUGGGGAUCUGCCCGAUAGAGGGGGACAACCACUGGAAACGGUGGCUAAUACCGCAUAACGUCGCAAGACCAAAGAGGGGGACCUUCGGGCCUCUCACUAUCGGAUGAACCCAGAUGGGAUUAGCUAGUAGGCGGGGUAAUGGCCCACCUAGGCGACGAUCCCUAGCUGGUCUGAGAGGAUGACCAGCCACACUGGAACUGAGACACGGUCCAGACUCCUACGGGAGGCAGCAGUGGGGAAUAUUGCACAAUGGGCGCAAGCCUGAUGCAGCCAUGCCGCGUGUAUGAAGAAGGCCUUCGGGUUGUAAAGUACUUUCAGCGGGGAGGAAGGCGGUGCGGUUAAUAACCGCGUCGAUUGACGUUACCCGCAGAAGAAGCACCGGCUAACUCCGUGCCAGCAGCCGCCGUAA